GGACGAACGCUGGCGGCGUGCUUAACACAUGCAAGUCGAACGAUGACGACCGAGCUUGCUCGGUCUGAUUAGUGGCGAACGGGUGAGUAACACGUGAGCAACCUGCCCUUCACUCUGGGAUAACCUCGGGAAAUCGGGGCUAAUACCGGAUAUGAGCUCCUGUCGCAUGGCGGGUGUUGGAAAGUUUUUCGGUGAAGGAUGGGCUCGCGGCCUAUCAGUUUGUUGGUGAGGUAGUGGCUCACCAAGGCGAUGACGGGUAGCCGGCCUGAGAGGGCGACCGGCCACACUGGGACUGAGACACGGCCCAGACUCCUACGGGAGGCAGCAGUGGGGAAUAUUGCACAAUGGGCGAAAGCCUGAUGCAGCGACGCCGCGUGAGGGAUGACGGCCUUCGGGUUGUAAACCUCUUUCAGCAGGGAAGAAGCGAAAGUGACGGUACCUGCAGAAGAAGCGCCGGCUAACUACGUG
RNAcentral lists this ribosomal RNA (468 nucleotides) under uncultured bacterium. RNAcentral describes it as "partial 16S ribosomal RNA". It matches the Rfam family "Bacterial small subunit ribosomal RNA", at positions 27 to 507 of the family's 1533-position model. The record is from RNAcentral.